UACAGAGGAUGCAAGCGUUAUCCGGAAUGAUUGGGCGUAAAGCGUCUGUAGGUGGCUUUUUAAGUCCGCCGUCAAAUCCCAGGGCUCAACUCUGGACAGGCGGUGGAAACUACCAAGCUGGAGUACGGUAGGGGCAGAGGGAAUUUCCGGUGGAGCGGUGAAAUGCGUAGAUAUCGAGAGGAACACCUGCGGCGAAGGCGGGUUGCUGGGCCGACACUGACGCUGAUGCGCGAAAGCUAGGGGAGCGAACGGG
Molecule: ribosomal RNA, 253 nt
Filed under: uncultured bacterium
Lineage: Bacteria
Description: partial 16S ribosomal RNA
Rfam family: Bacterial small subunit ribosomal RNA
Source: RNAcentral